UACCAAAAGCAAACUACGACGAUCCGUCAUGGGGAGUUACUUUUUCUCUGUCAAUUUUUUUUCUUUAAAUAAAACUUUUAUGUAGAGAGAGGGAGAAGUAUAUCAUCAAGUUUAUAUACAUAAUUUCAAACAAAGUUGAACACGAGAUUAUGAAAACCGGGAGGUCUGCUGCAGUAAGACAAAAAUGUAAUUAGUACUGACAUAAUCCAUGAUCGAAAUUUUCCUUCAUCUUGGUGACUUCUAACCACAUACUAAAUAUUAUCAAUAUCCAACCACGGAUCGAAUUGUGUUGCCAAGAAAUACAACCACCCUCCCAUAAACAAAUGGCAAGUGAAACGCAACUGCGAAGGCAUUAAGCUUCGAAUAAGAUCAUUUCUUCAGAUUCAAAAAGAAAGAAGGAUCGGUAUGAUAGGUUUUGUUUCUAUCUAAACAUGGGCAUUCUGCAAUAUGAGUACGUAGAUAUAAAUUUAGUAGGUGAAAAUGUAGAACCUCAAUACUGUGUCAGCUCUAUAUACUGAUACUAUUUAGGUAAACGGGCCGGUGCUUCUGACCCUGAUUCUAACCUUUGACCCAGAUUCAUGUUUUUGUUUCUGUGCUAUCAGCCAUUUUUGUUCGAAAUUUUCGGGCUUGCGAGCAUCUAAGGAAGAGGUAAUUUACCCCACGUUCCGUCUGAUGUUUUGGCUAGAAAGCAGCAUGUCCAGACAACAGGAGUUCAUCUGUGGCCUCUCGCAUGAGGUGACCAUAGCAGUCCUCCCCAGACUGAACAUGGAGGAGCUGAUGUUUGAAUUCAACAGAAGGAUUCAAAACCUGGAC
Long non-coding RNA from Branchiostoma floridae (Florida lancelet), 813 nucleotides. RefSeq lists it as uncharacterized. NCBI's taxonomy places the organism in Eukaryota, Metazoa, Chordata, Leptocardii, Amphioxiformes, Branchiostomatidae. The transcript has 2 exons. The record is from RefSeq and is a predicted model, not a curated record.